UACGAAGGGUGCAAGCGUUGCUCGGAAUUAUUGGGCGUAAAGGGUAGGUAGGUGGUAAUAAAAGUCUGGGGUGAAAUCCCUGAGCUCAACUCAGGACGUGCCUUGGAAACUAUAUUGCUAGAGUGCUGGAGAGGUUCGCAGAAUUCCCGGUGUAGCGGUGAAAUGCGCAGAUAUCGGGAGGAACACCAAUGGCGAAGGCAGCUCGCUGGGACGUGACUGACGCUGAGACGCGAAAGCGUGGGGAGCAAACAGG
RNAcentral lists this ribosomal RNA (253 nucleotides) under uncultured bacterium. Its description in RNAcentral is "partial 16S ribosomal RNA". It matches the Rfam family "Bacterial small subunit ribosomal RNA", at positions 524 to 776 of the family's 1533-position model. The record is from RNAcentral.